RNAcentral lists this ribosomal RNA (253 nucleotides) under uncultured bacterium. Its description in RNAcentral is "partial 16S ribosomal RNA". It matches the Rfam family "Bacterial small subunit ribosomal RNA", at positions 524 to 776 of the family's 1533-position model. The record is from RNAcentral.
UACGAAGGGGGCUAGCGUUGCUCGGAAUUACUGGGCGUAAAGGGCGCGUAGGCGGACAGUUUAGUCAGAGGUGAAAGCCCAGGGCUCAACCUUGGAAUUGCCUUUGAUACUGGCUGUCUUGAGUUCGGGAGAGGUGAGUGGAAUGCCGAGUGUAGAGGUGAAAUUCGUAGAUAUUCGGCGGAACACCAGUGGCGAAGGCGGCAUCCUGGACCAAUUCUGACGCUGAGGAGCGAAAGCCAGGGGAGCAAACGGG